This 576-nucleotide ribosomal RNA is filed under the name Epinephelus awoara (yellow grouper). RNAcentral describes it as "partial 16S ribosomal RNA". It matches the Rfam family "Bacterial large subunit ribosomal RNA", at positions 1816 to 2597 of the family's 2925-position model. The record is from RNAcentral. Lineage: Eukaryota; Metazoa; Chordata; Actinopteri; Perciformes; Serranidae.
CGCCUCUUGCUAAACCAAAAGUAUAAGAGGUCCCGCCUGCCCUGUGACUAUAUGUUUAACGGCCGCGGUAUUUUGACCGUGCGAAGGUAGCGCAAUCACUUGUCUCUUAAAUGGGGACCUGUAUGAAUGGCAUAACGAGGGCUUGACUGUCUCCUCUUUCAGGUCAAUGAAAUUGAUCUCCCCGUGCAGAAGCGGGGAUAGACACAUAAGACGAGAAGACCCUAUGGAGCUUUAGACACUAAAGCAGAUCAGCAUUAAUACCCCAAAUACGGGACACGAAUAAACUGAACCCUGCCCUAAUGUCUUAGGUUGGGGCGACCGCGGAGAAAUAAAAAACCCCCGCAAGGACUGAAUGUACUACAUUCACAACCAAGAGCGACAGCUCUAAUUAACAGAUAUUUCUGACCAAUAAGAUCCGGCAACGCCGAUCAAUGGACCAAGUUACCCUAGGGAUAACAGCGCAAUCUCCUCUUAGAGCCCGUAUCAACGAGGAGGUUUACGACCUCGAUGUUGGAUCAGGACAUCCUAAUGGUGCAGCCGCUAUUAAGGGUUCGUUUGUUCAACGAUUAAAGUCCU